GAUGAACGCUAGCUACAGGCUUAACACAUGCAAGUCGAGGGGCAGCAUGGUCUUAGCUUGCUAAGGCCGAUGGCGACCGGCGCACGGGUGAGUAACACGUAUCCAACCUGCCGUCUACUCUUGGACAGCCUUCUGAAAGGAAGAUUAAUACAAGAUGGCAUCAUGAGUCCGCAUGUUCACAUGAUUAAAGGUAUUCCGGUAGACGAUGGGGAUGCGUUCCAUUAGAUAGUAGGCGGGGUAACGGCCCACCUAGUCUUCGAUGGAUAGGGGUUCUGAGAGGAAGGUCCCCCACAUUGGAACUGAGACACGGUCCAAACUCCUACGGGAGGCAGCAGUGAGGAAUAUUGGUCAAUGGGCGAGAGCCUGAACCAGCCAAGUAGCGUGAAGGAUGACUGCCCUAUGGGUUGUAAACUUCUUUUAUAAAGGAAUAAAGUCGGGUAUGCAUACCCGUUUGCAUGUACUUUAUGAAUAAGGAUCGGCUAACUCCGUGCCAGCAGCCGCGGUAAUACGGAGGAUCCGAGCGUUAUCCGGAUUUAUUGGGUUUAAAGGGAGCGUAGAUGGAUGUUUAAGUCAGUUGUGAAAGUUUGCGGCUCAACCGUAAAAUUGCAGUUGAUACUGGAUAUCUUGAGUGCAGUUGAGGCAGGCGGAAUUCGUGGUGUAGCGGUGAAAUGCUUAGAUAUCACGAAGAACUCCGAUUGCGAAGGCAGCCUGCUAAGCUGCAACUGACAUUGAGGCUCGAAAGUGUGGGUAUCAAACAGGAUUAGAUACCCUGGUAGUCCACACGGUAAACGAUGAAUACUCGCUGUUUGCGAUAUACAGCAAGCGGCCAAGCGAAAGCGUUAAGUAUUCCACCUGGGGAGUACGCCGGCAACGGUGAAACUCAAAGGAAUUGACGGGGGCCCGCACAAGCGGAGGAACAUGUGGUUUAAUUCGAUGAUACGCGAGGAACCUUACCCGGGCUUAAAUUGCAGAUGAAUUACGGUGAAAGCCGUAAGCCGCAAGGCAUCUGUGAAGGUGCUGCAUGGUUGCCGUCAGCUCGUGCCGUGAGGUGUCGGCUUAAGUGCCAUAACGAGCGCAACCCUUGUUGUCAGUUACUAACAGGUUCCGCUGAGGACUCUGACAAGACUGCCAUCGUAAGAUGUGAGGAAGGUGGGGAUGACGUCAAAUCAGCACGGCCCUUACGUCCGGGGCUACACACGUGUUACAAUGGGGGGUACAGAGGGCCGCUACCACGCGAGUGGAUGCCAAUCCCAAAAACCUCUCUCAGUUCGGACUGGAGUCUGCAACCCGACUCCACGAAGCUGGAUUCGCUAGUAAUCGCGCAUCAGCCACGGCGCGGUGAAUACGUUCCCGGGCCU
RNAcentral lists this ribosomal RNA (1358 nucleotides) under uncultured bacterium. Its description in RNAcentral is "bacterial SSU rRNA". It matches the Rfam family "Bacterial small subunit ribosomal RNA", at positions 28 to 1381 of the family's 1533-position model. The record is from RNAcentral.